Molecule: long non-coding RNA, 1036 nt
Organism: Hippocampus zosterae (dwarf seahorse)
Lineage: Eukaryota; Metazoa; Chordata; Actinopteri; Syngnathiformes; Syngnathidae
Exons: 3
Source: RefSeq, a predicted model, not a curated record
AAAUGGUCUCCAUUUUUACAUUUGAGAGUGUCGUGAUUCGAUGUCUUUUGUUUUGUUUUUGUUCAGCAGUGCGAUCUGUAUUAUAUUUCCAUCGUGCUCGAAACGUAAUAGAAAAGUGAUGCGGAACCACAGCGGGGGGGGGGGGGGGGGGCAAAGGAAAUUAAGUGACUCGCAGAAGAAGAAAAAAAAAAACCCUCAACCUUUUGCACUUUUCCUCCAUGUUUCAGCUUUUCGUGAUCAUGCUUCGCAGAACGCCCUGCAGACAUGCGAGCCCGCGCUGUUCCCGGGCCGGGCCGCCACCUUCUGCGCACACGGACAAAAACAGCUUGAGAUGGGGAGUCCACAUGGAUAAACAUUUACCGUGGAUGGAAGGUGAACAAGAGAGACUUGUCUUCAUCAACCUCAUUAAGCGGCUUUUGGGAUGAACUACAACCGAGAUCUCUCAGGUUGCAGUUCACUGAAGCUGACAGCUGCUGCGGGGUUCAACAAUGCGGCCAUUGUUUAACAUCGCUGCUAUCCGCUGACCUGAUGAUGCCACGCACUACCUGAGGGAUGAAAAGCUAAGUCAAGAGACACGCUUUGAUCGCAGAGGAAACUCGCGCUUAACACUAGCAAAUUAGAUUUUUUUUUUUUUAGUCCGGCGCUCUCAUUCUGCACAAGUUUGGCCCGAGGUAUUAGCGUCCUAACGAGUAUUUUGGGGGAGCGACCCUUCCAAAUUGAACAAGCAAAUACGACACAUUGACCAAUGUAAGCUUUACGCCACAACUGCCCUCAAUUAACAGCAUUGGUAAGAAUCCAAAUCCGUUUUUUGCGGGGGGCCGGGGGGGCUUCUGUAAUGCUGACUGUCGAAGGCCCUUGCGCUCGGGGGCUCUUCAUUCAAAAACAUGAUGGCGGCAGCAAAAUGACACAUUUUAUCUGCGAAUUUCAAGAAAGAAAAUUUGAUCGAGUGACUUGAGACAUAAAUGCUUUUGAGACUUUUUAGCAUUUUAGGCCAAAAAGUUGAGAGCAAAGGACGGUAUAGAAUAAACUGGCAUAC